Nymphaea colorata (pocket water lily) is the source of this 1539-nucleotide long non-coding RNA. RefSeq lists it as uncharacterized. The record is from RefSeq and is a predicted model, not a curated record. The transcript has 3 exons. NCBI's taxonomy places the organism in Eukaryota, Viridiplantae, Streptophyta, Magnoliopsida, Nymphaeales, Nymphaeaceae.
CUUUCCUUUCCUUUUCGUCCAACCAAACAGGCCCUAAGGGAGAACCAAGGAGCCUCUUAUCAUCUUCUUCCUACAAAAAAGAAACUUCCAACUUGAGUUUACACUUCUUCCUACAAAAAAGAAACUUCCAACUUGAGUUUACACUACAAGAUUUGUGGGGUUUAAUGGCACGUCACUGAACACUGGGCCUCUUUCGGCAUCGCACCAUGAUUGUCACUCCAAGGGUAAUCUGUGGCUUUCAGGGAAGGGUCGCCAUGGUGAAUGAAGACAUUGAUGCGCUCGGAACGCCAGAAUGAGAAAAAACAAGUAAGCCGUCCAAUAAACGCCAUUCAAGAAAAGACAGUCUUUUAGGAGCCGCUGAAGAUGGAACUGGGUGUUGCUGAAACACAGCUUAAAGAAGAAAUUGGGGCGUAUUUUUUACACCAUGGACGAACCAUGUUGGUAUUGCCAAAGGGUUAAUAUUCAAUGCCUUCGACUUCCUCUCGAAAAGGUUCCUCUCCAUCUUGGUCGAUUUUGUCCCUACAGAUUGCGACUGCAGACGUUGUUAUUGCUAGAGGCGUGCUAAGGAGGAACAGCAGUUGCUGCGUGCAUAUCAACGUGAUCUCCAUCAUCCACGAGUUCUUCAUAUCGUCCUAGUGCUGUACAUCGUGUCUUUCACUAUAGUCAUAGCAGAAGAUCAAGCCAUGCACACACUGCUUCAAGUAUCCAAGCAAGACCUUACAGGAGCCGAUCUGUUGAUUCAAAAGAUGAUUUGUACUUGAUGGGUGAGAUUUACCAAGCUUCAGGUUUGAGGCGAAGGUGGAGUUUUAAGAAGCACUUUUGGCAUACUACAUACAGUGGGAAAAAGAUGCAGUUGAAUCUCAAUUAGGAAAAAUUUUGGAUCCAUGUAUCUCAGACAGUAGGACAUGGACCGUUGUGUGAGGUUGUAUUAUCAACUUGUGUAGGAUUGUUUUAUCAUAGGAGCUUGGAACUCAGCUGUAAAAAAAAUUCAGGAGAAAAAGAAUUCGUUGGCAGAGUCCUAAAGAUGAAAUUCAGUUUUGGGUGAAAGUUAAAAUUUGGUCAGUGAUUGCUUACAGAGUGCUUGCAAGCCUUUCAUGUGGUCUGUUGAAACCUAUGGUGGGGAAGAAAUAUGGUACACCAGGACGGGUGAAAUGAAGAGAAAUCAAAGCUCUUGCUUUGAUAUGGAGAAGCUAUCAAGAUGUCUACCGCGAUAGGUUUUUUGUCGUCUUUUGCUUGGACUCAUCUUUUUUAUUUAUUAUGGUUUUUUUGAGUGUUUGGGUCAAGGCAUCUGAGGCAGAGUGAUUAUAGUUGAUGAAUGCAUCCAUGUAUUUAGGUGGAGGGUUUCUUGGAGUGCUUAAUUGAAUGAAGUCGGAGAAGCUGGGAAUUUGAACAUCUGCUGCUGACCAAUUCAAGCAUUCUCGUUCUUAUUUUCCUUUUUUUUUGUCUUAUGAAUAUUUGUUCAAUAUCAAGCUGACCCAAAUUUGUAAAUGUGUACAAAUGUAUAUGCCUUUGAUUAUCAACGCAGGAAAAAUCUGUAUA